RNAcentral lists this ribosomal RNA (476 nucleotides) under uncultured bacterium. RNAcentral's name for it is "bacterial SSU rRNA". It matches the Rfam family "Bacterial small subunit ribosomal RNA", at positions 30 to 498 of the family's 1533-position model. The record is from RNAcentral.
AUUGAACGCUGGCGGCAGGCCUAACACAUGCAAGUCGAGCGGUAGAGAGGUGCUUGCAUCUCUUGAGAGCGGCGGACGGGUGAGUAAUGCCUAGGAAUCUGCCUAGUGGUGGGGGAUAACGUUCGGAAACGGACGCUAAUACCGCAUACGUCCUACGGGAGAAAGCGGGGGAUCUUCGGACCUCGCGCCAUUAGAUGAGCCUAGGUCGGAUUAGCUAGUUGGUGAGGUAAUGGCUCACCAAGGCGACGAUCCGUAACUGGUCUGAGAGGAUGAUCAGUCACACUGGAACUGAGACACGGUCCAGACUCCUACGGGAGGCAGCAGUGGGGGAAUAUUGGACAAUGGGCGAAAGCCUGAUCCAGCCAUGCCGCGUGUGUGAAGAAGGUCUUCGGAUUGUAAAGCACUUUAAGUUGGGAGGAAGGGCAGUUACCUAAUACGUGAUUGUUUGACGUUACCGUACAGAAUAAGCACCGGCU